RNAcentral lists this ribosomal RNA (280 nucleotides) under uncultured prokaryote. RNAcentral's name for it is "partial 16S ribosomal RNA". It matches the Rfam family "Bacterial small subunit ribosomal RNA", at positions 524 to 803 of the family's 1533-position model. The record is from RNAcentral.
UACGUAGGGGGCAAGCGUUAUCCGGAUUCAUUGGGCGUAAAGCGCUCGUAGGCGGCCUGUUAGGUCGGGAGUCAAAUCCCGGGGCUCAACCCCGGCUCGCUCCCGAUACCGGCAGGCUUGAGUUUGGUAGGGGAAAGUGGAAUUCCAAGUGUAGCGGUGGAAUGCGCAGAUAUUUGGAAGAACACCAGUGGCGAAGGCGGCUUUCUGGGCCAUAACUGACGCUGAGGAGCGAAAGCUAGGGGAGCGAACAGGAUUAGAUACCCUGUAGUCCCUGAGCGGG